Long non-coding RNA from Microtus oregoni (creeping vole), 440 nucleotides. RefSeq lists it as uncharacterized. The transcript is spliced from 3 exons. The record is from RefSeq and is a predicted model, not a curated record. NCBI's taxonomy places the organism in Eukaryota, Metazoa, Chordata, Mammalia, Rodentia, Cricetidae.
UACAAUAAGCGCUUGGAGUCAGCAGGCUCCUCUCAGCGUGAAGCCUGAGGAUUAAAUGCUGUAGCUGAGAACUGAGUAUGGAUUUUGUUUUUGUUGGAGAUGGAACCCAGGGCCUCAGACAUUCAAGGCACGCACUUUCUAUCAUCUGAGGUCUCUGCCCCUCUGCUCCCCACUCUCCUAACAUCGAAAGGAAAACCACAACUGGACACAACCCAGAGAUCAGCAGAUCGUGGGGAGCACAGCCCAAUGGGUACAUACAUCUACAUCACAGCUCCUACACCUAUGGCUUGGGAGCAUCCUAGAAAAAUGGCAGAAAGAUCCCAAGAGCCAGCACACCAAAAAGUCAAACAGUGUCUCCUAGGAAUGGCUGCAUGAACAGAACUGGAACAAUGGCCAGAAGAGGGCACCAGACCUCAUUGCAGAUGGUUGUGAACCACCAU